Molecule: non-coding RNA, 75 nt
Organism: Candidatus Micrarchaeota archaeon CG1_02_60_51
Lineage: Archaea; Nanobdellati; Microcaldota
Source: Rfam
GGGCCCGUAGCUCAGCCUGGAUAGAGCGAUUGCCUCCUAAGCAAUAGGUCAUGGGUUCGAAUCCCAUCGGGCUCG